AUAUAUAUGUGUGUGUGUGUGUAUAUAUAUGUAUAUAUGUAUGUAUGUAUGUGUAUGUGUGUGUGUGUGUGUAUAUAUAUAUACACACACACA
Molecule: microRNA precursor, 93 nt
Filed under: Chlorocebus sabaeus (green monkey)
Lineage: Eukaryota; Metazoa; Chordata; Mammalia; Primates; Cercopithecidae
Description: miRNA (ENSCSAG00000025078.1)
Source: RNAcentral